CGGCGUGCUUAACACAUGCAAGUCGAACGGUGAAGCCAAGCUUGCUUGGUGGAUCAGUGGCGAACGGGUGAGUAACACGUGAGCAACCUGCCCUGGACUCUGGGAUAAGCGCUGGAAACGGCGUCUAAUACUGGAUAUGAGACGUGAUCGCAUGGUCGUGUUUGGAAAGAUUUUUCGGUCUGGGAUGGGCUCGCGGCCUAUCAGCUUGUUGGUGAGGUAAUGGCUCACCAAGGCGUCGACGGGUAGCCGGCCUGAGAGGGUGACCGGCCACACUGGGACUGAGACACGGCCCAGACUCCUACGGGAGGCAGCAGUGGGGAAUAUUGCACAAUGGGCGGAAGCCUGAUGCAGCAACGCCGCGUGAGGGAUGACGGCCUUCGGGUUGUAAACCUCUUUUAGCAGGGAAGAAGCGAAAGUGACGGUACCUGCAGA
This 432-nucleotide ribosomal RNA is filed under the name Microbacterium sp. EP_R_85. RNAcentral's name for it is "bacterial SSU rRNA". It matches the Rfam family "Bacterial small subunit ribosomal RNA", at positions 40 to 485 of the family's 1533-position model. Lineage: Bacteria; Bacillati; Actinomycetota; Actinomycetes; Micrococcales; Microbacteriaceae. The record is from RNAcentral.